CUGCGGAGGAUCAUUAUCGAAAUCGUAGGCGAAGGGUUGUCGCUGGCCUCUCGGGGCAUGUGCACGCCCGAGCCCUUGAAUUCCAAACACACCUGUGAACCCACCGUAGGCCUUCGGGCCUAUGUCUUAUCAUAUAAUCUUGAAUGUCUAAUAGAAUGUAAACCCAUUUCCGUCGCCUUGAAAACGUGACGGAAGAAAACUUAUACAACUUUCAACAACGGAUCUCUUGGCUCUCGCAUCGAUGAAGAACGCAGCGAAAUGCGAUAAGUAAUGUGAAUUGCAGAUUUUCAGUGAAUCAUCGAAUCUUUGAACGCACCUUGCGCCCCUUGGUAUUCCGAGGGGCAUGCCUGUUUGAGUGUCAUUAAAUCCUCAACCCCUCCGAUUCGUUUCGGGCGGGGAUUGGACUUGGAGCGUGCUGGCGAAGGUCGGCUCCUCUUUAAAUGCAUCAGCGGAGAAAAUGCCUUUUGCGCCUCUGGCCGUUCAGCGUGAUAAUGACGUUGCGCUGCGGUCGAGCUCAAGGUCCGCUUCUAAAGGUCCUCGGACGAUAUCAAUAUGUUUUGACCUCAAAUCAGGUAGGACUACCCGCUGAACUUAAGCAUAUCAAUAAGCGGAGGAAAAGAAACUAACAAGGAUUCCCCUAGUAACUGCGAGUGAAGCGGGAAAAGCUCAAAUUUAAAAUCUGGCGGUCUCCGGCCGUCCGAGUUGUAAUCUGGAGAAGCGUUUUCCGCGUCGGACCGUGUACAAGUCUUCUGGAACGGAGCGUCGUAGAGGGUGAGAAUCCCGUCUCUGACACGGACUGCCGAUGCUUUUGUGAUACGCUCUCGAAGAGUCGAGUUGUUUGGGAAUGCAGCUCAAAACGGGUGGUAAAUUCCAUCUAAAGCUAAAUAUUGGCGAGAGACCGAUAGCGAACAAGUACCGUGAGGGAAAGAUGAAAAGCAC
Molecule: ribosomal RNA, 939 nt
Filed under: uncultured Tylospora
Lineage: Eukaryota; Fungi; Basidiomycota; Agaricomycetes; Atheliales; Atheliaceae
Description: eukaryotic LSU rRNA
Rfam family: Eukaryotic large subunit ribosomal RNA (bases 559-939)
Source: RNAcentral